Electrophorus electricus (electric eel) is the source of this 603-nucleotide long non-coding RNA. RefSeq lists it as uncharacterized. The record is from RefSeq and is a predicted model, not a curated record. Lineage: Eukaryota; Metazoa; Chordata; Actinopteri; Gymnotiformes; Gymnotidae.
GUGAAUGCACCAAGUCUACUCUCAACUGUUCUGUGUAUCUUCUGUGUGUCCUUGGUAUUUCCUGCAGGAGAACUUGACGAACUAAACUUCUGUUUCCCAUCUGGAAGCAGGGAUCAGAAAUGAGUUGGAUAUCACUGAAACAUUUUCCCUUUAUGAGGGCUUUUGGACAGGACUGCGGUUCCCUCUCUGGCCAACAGAAGGCGUCUGUAAACACAACAGGCCCACCACAGGACGCCUUACCUCUAUGUGGUCCUGAUUACUAACCAAUUUACACGGACAUCUUUAUAGACUACUGGCUCGAGGGACAGAGCAACAUGUAGUGGGAAAUGAAUGCUGACAAACAUGCAGGAUAUACUGGGCAUACUCCAUGUGUGUUUGUUGUCACCUGACCUACAAAAAGCAAGCAAGAGGAAGUAAACUAAAAUGCCUCCCAGCCAAUCACCUGAGUCCAAAGCACAGAUUCCGUAUUAGUGAACCAUGCAGAAUGAUGACAAAAAUGCUCUCACUAUGAAAUAAAUGUUAUAGAAGGUAAAUGUGUUGUUUCCAUUUCAUAUUGUCUUUAAGUCUGAAUCUGAAAUAUAUAGGCCUACUUUGUAAGACUUA